GACGAACGCUGGCGGCGUGCUUAACACAUGCAAGUCGAACGCUGAAGCUCAGCUUGCGGGGUGGAUGAGUGGCGAACGGGUGAGUAACACGUGAGUAACCUGCCCUCUUCUUUGGGAUAACGCCCGGAAACGGGCGCUAAUACUGGAUAUUCACUGAUUCUCGCAUGGGGGUUGGUGGAAAGGAUUUUUCCGGUGGGGGAUGGGCUCGCGGGCUAUCAGCUUGUUGGUGGGUUGAUGGACUACCAAGUCUUUGACGGGUCGCUGGCGUGGGAGGGUGACCGGUCACCUUGGACCUGGGCCACGGUCCAGCCUCAUUCGGCAGGCAGGAGUGGGGCGUAUUGCACGAUGGGCGGACGGCUGAUGCCGCGACGACGCGUGAGGGAUGGAGGACUUCGGGUUGCAAUCCUCAUUCGCUCAUGGUCAAGCCGCAGAUUUGGGUUGUGGUGAGGGUAGUGGGUAAAGAAGCGCCGGCUAACUACGUG
RNAcentral lists this ribosomal RNA (482 nucleotides) under uncultured bacterium. RNAcentral's name for it is "partial 16S ribosomal RNA". It matches the Rfam family "Bacterial small subunit ribosomal RNA", at positions 28 to 507 of the family's 1533-position model. The record is from RNAcentral.